CCUACGGGUGGCUGCAGUGGGGAAUUUUGCGCAAUGGGGGAAACCCUGACGCAGCAACGCCGCGUGAGCGAUGAAGGCCUUCGGGUCGUAAAGCUCUGUCUUAGGGGAAGAAACCUUAAAGGCUAAUACCCUUUAAGCUGACGGUACCCUAAAAGGAAGCCCCGGCUAACUACGUGCCAGCAGCCGCGGUAACACGUAGGGGGCAAGCGUUGUCCGGAAUUAUUGGGCGUAAAGGGCGUGUAGGCGGCCGGCUAAGUCGGUGGUGUAAGGCUUCGGCUCAACCGGAGGAUUGCCAUUGAAACUGGUCGGCUUGAGGGCAGCAGAGGUAAGCGGAAUUCCUGGUGUAGCGGUGAAAUGCGUAGAUAUCAGGAGGAACACCAGUGGCGAAGGCGGCUUACUGGGCUGGCCCUGACGCUGAGGCGCGAAAGCGUGGGGAGCAAACAGGAUUAGAUACCCCGGUAGUCCC
This 466-nucleotide ribosomal RNA is filed under the name uncultured Peptococcaceae bacterium. RNAcentral describes it as "bacterial SSU rRNA". It matches the Rfam family "Bacterial small subunit ribosomal RNA", at positions 338 to 797 of the family's 1533-position model. Lineage: Bacteria; Bacillati; Bacillota; Clostridia; Eubacteriales; Peptococcaceae. The record is from RNAcentral.